RNAcentral lists this microRNA precursor (117 nucleotides) under Capsicum annuum. RNAcentral describes it as "mir-399 microRNA precursor family". It matches the Rfam family "mir-399 microRNA precursor family". Rfam says of the family: mir-399 was identified in both Arabidopsis thaliana and Oryza sativa computationally and was later experimentally verified. mir-399 is thought to target mRNAs coding for a phosphatase transporter. Lineage: Eukaryota; Viridiplantae; Streptophyta; Magnoliopsida; Solanales; Solanaceae. The record is from Rfam by way of RNAcentral. RNAcentral also lists the same sequence under 1 other name.
GGAUGCAUUAUUGGGCUAAUCUUCUUUGGCAAAUAUAGCCACAUUUCACUUCACUAUUAAUAUUUGGUGCAAAUUUAGUCAUUAAUUGCCAAAGAAGAUUUGCCCCAUGAUUUAACC